RNAcentral lists this ribosomal RNA (383 nucleotides) under uncultured eukaryote. Its description in RNAcentral is "partial 18S ribosomal RNA". It matches the Rfam family "Eukaryotic small subunit ribosomal RNA", at positions 592 to 976 of the family's 1831-position model. The record is from RNAcentral.
CAAUAGCGUAUAUUAAAGUUGUUGCAGUUAAAAAGCUCGUAGUUGGAUUUCUGGUGGGAGCGAUCGGUCUGGCGCUUAGCGCGAGUACUUGCAUCGUCUCCGGCCAUCCUUGGGGAGAGUCUGUCUGGCAUUAGGUUGUCGGGCAGAGGAUCCUCAUCGUUUACUGUGAAAAAAUUAGAGUGUUCAAAGCAGGCUUAUGCCGUUGAAUAUAUUAGCAUGGAAUAGUAAGAUAGGACUUUGGUACUAUUUUGUUGGUUUGCGCACCAAAGUAAUGAUUAAUAGGGACAGUUGGGGGUAUUCGUAUUCCGUUGUCAGAGGUGAAAUUCUUGGAUUUACGGAAGACGAACUACUGCGAAAGCAUUUACCAAGGAUGUUUUCAUUAA